AUACGGGGGAUACGAGCGUUAUCCGCAUUUAUUGGGUUUAAAGGGUGCGCAGGCGGACCGGUAAGUCAGGGGUGAAAAGUCGGGGCUCAACUCCGAUCGUGCCUUUGAUACUGCCGGACUGGAGUGCGAUAGGCGUGGCCGGAAUGUGGUGUGUAGCGGUGAAAUGCUUAGAUAUGCCACAGAACACCGAUCGAGAAGUCAGGUCACGAGUUCGCAACUGACGCUCAUGCACGAAAGCGUGGGGAUCAAACAGGAUUAGAUACCCUGGUAGUCCACGCUGUAAACGAUGAUCACUCGUUGUUGGGGGGUGACCCUCAGCGGCCAAGCGAAAGCGAUAAGUGAUCCGCCUGGGGAGUACGAUCGCAAGGUUGAAACUCAAAGGAAUUGACGGGG
Molecule: ribosomal RNA, 393 nt
Filed under: uncultured bacterium
Lineage: Bacteria
Description: partial 16S ribosomal RNA
Rfam family: Bacterial small subunit ribosomal RNA
Source: RNAcentral